Molecule: ribosomal RNA, 390 nt
Filed under: uncultured soil crust cyanobacterium
Lineage: Bacteria; Bacillati; Cyanobacteriota
Description: bacterial SSU rRNA
Rfam family: Bacterial small subunit ribosomal RNA
Source: RNAcentral
CGAAAGCCUGACGGAGCAAGACCGCGUGGGGGAAGAAGGCUCUUGGGUUGUAAACCCCUUUUCUCUGGGAAGAAAGUUGUGAAAGCAACCUGACGGUACCAGAGGAAUCAGCAUCGGCUAACUCCGUGCCAGCAGCCGCGGUAAGACGGAGGAUGCAAGCGUUAUCCGGAAUGAUUGGGCGUAAAGCGUCCGCAGGUGGCAGUUCAAGUCUGCUGUCAAAGACCGGGGCUUAACUUCGGAAAGGCAGUGGAAACUGAACAGCUAGAGUAUGGUAGGGGCAGAGGGAAUUCUGGUGUAGCGGUGAAAUGCGUAGAGAUCAGGAAGAACAUCGGUGGCGAAGGCGCUCUGCUGGACCAUAACUGACACUCAGGGACGAAAGCUAGGGGAGCG